AAACGCUUGAAGUCAGACGCGUUGGCCAGGGAUCAGCCCCGCUUCUGCGUGGUGUACUUUCUGGUUGACGGGUCAGCAUCAAUUUUGACUGCUGGAGAAAGGCUUGAGGAAUGUGGCAGCUUCGGCUGUGUUAUAGCUUCUUGUCAUAUACAGCAGUUGGGAUUGAGGAACUCAGCACGCCGCAAGGCCGGGUUUCGACCACGUUCGUGCUUAGGAUGCUGGCAUAAUGGCUUUAAGCGA
Molecule: ribosomal RNA, 240 nt
Filed under: Lepiota sp.
Lineage: Eukaryota; Fungi; Basidiomycota; Agaricomycetes; Agaricales; Agaricaceae
Description: partial large subunit ribosomal RNA
Source: RNAcentral